This 143-nucleotide ribosomal RNA is filed under the name uncultured bacterium. RNAcentral's name for it is "partial 16S ribosomal RNA". It matches the Rfam family "Bacterial small subunit ribosomal RNA", at positions 335 to 497 of the family's 1533-position model. The record is from RNAcentral.
ACUCCUACGGGAGGCAGCAGUGGGGAAUAUUGCACAAUGGGGGAAACCCUGAUGCAGCAACGCCGCGUGAGUGAUGACGGUCUUCGGAUUGUAAAGCUCUGUCUUUAGGACGAUAAUGACUGUACCUAAGACGAUGUACCGUU